Molecule: long non-coding RNA, 240 nt
Filed under: Carica papaya (papaya)
Lineage: Eukaryota; Viridiplantae; Streptophyta; Magnoliopsida; Brassicales; Caricaceae
Description: long non-coding RNA (CPAP_LNC000654)
Source: RNAcentral
GAAUGGUCAAGAUUUGUUUCCUCCUUAGGUGCGAUCGGACAGACGAGAUUGAUCGCAAUGGACGACUUAGAUCAACGGAGGAUGGAUAUAAAUACUUCACAUCACACGGGAGCCAAAACCCUAGUCGCCAGGACUUGCCGGAGAAGAAGAACUAGAUAUCGGAGAAGGAGGCCGAUCGCCGACCUUCAUCGCACUAGAGCCACCGCUGGCCACCAAAAAAGGUAAAAAUUCUCCUUACCU